GAUGAACGCUAGCUACAGGCUUAACACAUGCAAGUCGAGGGACCGGCGCACGGGUGAGUAACACGUAUCCAACCUGCCCUUUACUCGGGGAUAGCCUUUCGAAAGCGAGAUUAAUACCCGCUGUUAAGGCUGGGGGUGCGUUCCUUUAGGUUGUUGGUGAGGUACCGGCUCACCAAGCCUUCGAUGGCUAGGGGUGCUGAGAGGAAGGUCCCCCCCAUUGGAACUGCGACCCUGUCCAAACUCCUACGGGAGGCAGCAGUGGCGAAUAUUGUUCAAUGAGCUUUGGCCUGACCCAGCCACGUAGCGUGAAGGAUGAAGGCUUAUGGGUCGUAAACUUCUUUUAUAUAAGAAUCUGUAUUAUAUGAAUAAGGAUCGGCUAACUCCGUGCCAGCCGCCGCGGUAAUUC
Molecule: ribosomal RNA, 406 nt
Filed under: uncultured bacterium
Lineage: Bacteria
Description: partial 16S ribosomal RNA
Rfam family: Bacterial small subunit ribosomal RNA
Source: RNAcentral